UACGUUCCCGGGCUUGUACACACCGCCCGUCACACCACGAAAGUCGGCAAUACCCGAAGCCGGUGGCCUAACCCGUAAGGGAGGGAGCCGUCGAAGGUAGGGUUGAUGAUUGGGGUG
This 117-nucleotide ribosomal RNA is filed under the name uncultured bacterium. Its description in RNAcentral is "partial 16S ribosomal RNA". It matches the Rfam family "Bacterial small subunit ribosomal RNA", at positions 1367 to 1482 of the family's 1533-position model. The record is from RNAcentral.